This is a small nucleolar RNA of Tripterygium wilfordii, 129 nucleotides long. NCBI's taxonomy places the organism in Eukaryota, Viridiplantae, Streptophyta, Magnoliopsida, Celastrales, Celastraceae. The record is from RefSeq and is a predicted model, not a curated record.
AUCCCAGAUAAGCUGAAUCCUGGUGUUUAUCUGAUUCAUGGGAGGCCAAAAGCAAUAAUGGAAGUUUCGCUGAUAAUGCCCUUUGCUUGUAUUACUAAAGGCAUUUACUAGUAACUUUGCCAUACAUGA